This 497-nucleotide ribosomal RNA is filed under the name uncultured bacterium. Its description in RNAcentral is "partial 16S ribosomal RNA". It matches the Rfam family "Bacterial small subunit ribosomal RNA", at positions 28 to 507 of the family's 1533-position model. The record is from RNAcentral.
GACGAACGCUGGCGGCGUGCCUAAUACAUGCAAGUUGAGCGCUGAAGGUUGGUACUUGUACCGACUGGAUGAGCAGCGAACGGGUGAGUAACGCGUGGGGAAUCUGCCUUUGAGCGGGGGACAACAUUUGGAAACGAAUGCUAAUACCGCAUAAAAACUUUAAACACAAGUUUUAAGUUUGAAAGAUGCAAUUGCAUCACUCAAAGAUGAUCCCGUGUUGUAUUAGCUAGUUGGUGAGGUAAAGGCUCACCAAGGCGAUGAUACAUAGCCGACCUGAGAGGGUGAUCGGCCACAUUGGGACUGAGACACGGCCCAAACUCCUACGGGAGGCAGCAGUAGGGAAUCUUCGGCAAUGGACGAAAGUCUGACCGAGCAACGCCGCGUGAGUGAAGAAGGUUUUCGGAUCGUAAAACUCUGUUGGUAGAGAAGAACGUUGGUGAGAGUGGAAAGCUCAUCAAGUGACGGUAACUACCCAGAAAGGGACGGCUAACUACGUG